Molecule: RNA transcript, 2318 nt
Organism: Acanthopagrus latus (yellowfin seabream)
Lineage: Eukaryota; Metazoa; Chordata; Actinopteri; Spariformes; Sparidae
Gene name: zinc finger and BTB domain-containing protein 14-like
Exons: 3
Source: RefSeq, a predicted model, not a curated record
AAAAACCUCGUACGUUUUUCCUAUGUAUGUGUUCAUUUUUAAUACGAGGACGAACCGCUCUGGGGGAGGAGUGAGUCCUCCUCUCGCUCGGAGAGGAUCUGUGCGGAGUACCUGCUCCGGUGCUGUAGGUGGCAGCAGAACAGCAACACAUUUCCUGUGGAGCCCAACAGUCACAACAAGAGGAGGAAGAGGAAAAACGACAGCUCUGGAUCGUCGUCGACUGCCUUGCGUGACAACACAGGGAUCGCGUUCAGGCUUCGGGUUGCUCCACUUUGACGUGCAACAUGUCUGAUUUACUGAGAUACAUCGACUAUGACCACAAAGCCACCUUCCUGAAGAUGCUCAACCAGCAGAGGAUGGAGGGCGAGCACUGUGAUGUGGUGGUGGUGGUGGAGAACAUCGAGUUCAGAGCGCACCGCUGUGUCUUGGCCGCCUGCAGCAACUACUUCAAAAAGCUGUUCAAGAAGCAGAGCGACGAGGACAACUCCAUCGUGGAGCUGGACUUCAUCCGCUCCGACAUCUUCGAGGAGGUGCUCAAUUACAUGUACACAGCGCGGCUCGCGGUGAGGAAGAAGGACAUCAAUAUGAUGAUGUCGUCGGGGCAGAUCCUGGGGAUCAACUUCCUGGAUAACCUGUGCACGCAGAAACGCGAGCUGACCAACAUGAAGACUCGGGAGAACCAGGCUCCGGGCGACCACGGGAUGCGAGCUCAGGACGCCAUCCUGAAGGAGCUGGCCAUGGAGGAGGUGAGGAAGAACAGCUUCUACGAUCAGGGGAUGGACAGCAUGGGGCCCGGCGGCUCCCACGUGUCUCAGCCACACAACUACAACACCAACAUGAGCAAAGACCCUCACAGCCACGGCUGGGGCUCCUCGUCCUCCAGCGACAUGAAGCUGGAGUACCUGCUGUACGGCCACCGCGACCACGGCUCCUGCCAAAGCGCAGGCGCCAAGCCCAUGGACCACAAUGCCAAAAAGGAGCGGCUGCUCACCGCCAACCGCCCCUACGGCUGCGAGCACUGCCCCAAAGCCUUCACCACCGCCGCACACCUCAAGGAGCACCUGAAGAUCCACUCCGGCUUCAAGCCCCACCGCUGCGUCGUGUGCGGCAAGGCCUUCAUCAGGGGCCCCGACCUGAAGCGGCACGAGAGGGUCCACAGCAACGAGCGGCCCUUCGCGUGCCAAAUGUGCGAAAAGGCCUUCAAGCACAAGUCCCACCUGAAAGACCACGAACGGCAGCACCGGGGCGAGCGGCCAUUCAACUGCGGCUCCUGCGACAAAGCCUUCAUCAAAGCGUCGGAUCUGAAGCGCCACUGGAACACCAUGCACAGCGGCAACCCUCGCAGACAGAUGUCCCUGUCUCCCGCCGCCUCCCAGCACGGCCAGGCAGAAGCCGCCGACCAGAGAGACUGGAAAAUGGAGACCGGGCCACACUCGCACAACUCAGGGGACUGUUGAGCCUACACACACUUAUGCACACACACACACACACAAACACACACACACACACACCAAACCACACACACACAUUCAGAGCAGUCACUCAAAAACAUGCACACACACUGACACAACCACAACCCUGUGACAGGCUGAGGGCCUGAGAUCACACGGACAAUGAUCGGAGCGUGGAGGAAGCAGGAUCUGUAUCCUGAAGGUCUAUUUAUACAGCCGAGGUGUCAGCCACGCAGCCACACGAGCCCUGGAAGCACCUGAGAUCAUGGUAUCAGUUCUUUAAAAUGUGAAAGCUUUAGAAAGAUGCAACCAACAGUUCAAUUUAAUUAAAAAAAAAACCUGUGGGUUAGAUAUGGCAAGGAUAUCAAAGUCUUCCUCAGCCACCACAUUGGUUAAGUUGGUCAGAUCGGGUACAUUUGGUUUGUGUGCGGCUCCAAGGUGUGACAAUUUCGGUUUCAUUUGCACCCAAAAGUCUGUAGAGUGUGACGGAACAUCUCAACAUUUUCCUUGGUCGCACUGGUGCACCUUACGUUCAGCUGAUCAGAUGUAAAAUCAUUUUUUCCUGACACUAACUGGAUGCGACAGUUUGAUUGGCUGGGAAUGGGAAAAACAUUUGCACCAAUUACGCAGUUUGUGAAGAAGUUAAUUGUAAUAUUGCGUGCACCAAAAAGAGAAAGUAAGACGCACCAGUGUGAAACAGUCUGGGCCCUUGUUGAGAAGGUCGCUUUAAAAAAGGAAAUUUUCCCACCUUUUUAAGCAACAAACCUUUUGAUAUACAUACAGUGAGACCGUAACGAUCAAUGCAAGACAAAAUGUUUAAAUGUUCUGUAUUCAAAUCGAUUUAAAAUAAAAAAUUCAGAAUUUUAA